AAUGUUACUUGAAACUCAGGUGGGAUACUCAUACUUGAUUCAAAAUGUUUUUCAGUGAAAUUGUGCAAAUAUUGCAAAUAUAACGCGUAUGUUGUGCGAUUCAACUGAGAAACUCGAAGUUCCGGUUUAUAAUAGGUGAAGUUUUUAAGCCUUAAGAUAUUGACCAAUCACAGUGGAAUGUAAGGAGAAUAACCGAUUGUGAUUUGAGCUUCUAAAAUGAUAUAUAUUGCACACGGAAAAGGUGCGAUAUCACGUAGAAUGUUAUCGCGUUAUCUUUUCCGUGUGCGUUGUAUCAUUUCAGCAGCUUCAGUAGCAUCUUUUUCCCGUAUGAAUUAUUUCAUACGAAUAUGGUGCGAGAUAUUUGAAAAUGGAGAUCUUAAUCUUACUGAGCAAAUUCAGGACCGUCUGAAAAAUGUGUAGAUAAUAAAUUAAGCAAACAUUAGGUGAAAAUUUGGCACAAACCUGUUGCCUGUGUCCAUGCGUGGUGACACCUCGCAAGAGAGUUUGAUAAGCUGGUGAAUUAUCACUUAUCAGUAGCCAGUCACUAUCAAAAUCGAUCUUCGAUUAUAAACGCACACGAAAAAAACGGAAAGAUGACGAAUAUUAAAUAUCGAUCUUGAGAGAAGAAUCAUUUAUCGAUACUGGUCUGCUUAAGGGGGUAUCCUGGUGCUAAGAAAUGAGAUAAAUUUAGGAUUUUUUUUUUUUUUUAGAGAAAACUGUAAUUCCGAUGAAAUUGAAGUCUUAGGAGAACAUUUUUAUAAACACUUAAUUAAAAAAAUAUACAUUUUUUCAAAAUGUUUCGUAAAGACUUGGCCGAGUUAUAUGCCGUAUCGCACCGUAUCGAGGCACCGUUUCGCGCUACAAAGGACAUAAAAUAGAGGAUAAAAAAUAUUCUGCCGAGUACAUUUUUCCCCUUAGGACAUGUUAAUUGGUCGUUAGAAGAAAAUAGUGUUCUCCUACAUUUACUAAUUUGUCCCUACAGCAAGGUAAUUUGCAGAUUCAGUAAAAUCUAAUCUAGCGAACGGCGUAUUUUUUCAGAAAAGGACAUCGCGCGAACAUCCGAUGACGACUGUUUCAUAAUUAACUGCAACAAUAAUUACCGAUUCGAGUUUAUGUUGCUGACCCGAUGACGCUGAUGGAUUAGUUCGAUAUGUGUCUACUUGUUCGUCGUACACGUUCAUAUCGGAAAAAUAUGAUGAGCUAGCGAUGGGACCGAGCCGACGAGCCUUGAGAACGACGGGCGGAACUGCGCGGGAAAACAGGUUUCGAUUUCGCCUUUUCGAGGGGAGGACGUCGGCGAUGGGGAACGAAGGCUGCGCGUAUAUUUCCGCGGAAUAUCUGCCCUCCUAGAGGAGGAGGUCCGUGGGGAGCUUUCGGGAGGAAAAAUCGUUCGGGUGGAAAGCGCCGCCUCGGGAAAAUCGACGGCCGAGCGUCGUUCCCAUCGCUGUGUCCGGAGGACACCGGAGGAGAGGCGGAAAGAGAGAGAAGUGGGUAUGCACUCCGCGGCCCACCCACGUUACGAUAUAAUGGGCAAUUAAUGGCCACAGUGGACCGGCCGAUCCGCUGAAUGCCAAUCGGCCACGGGAAGCGCCACGCUGGCCACGACGACGAAGCCUCUCCCGUUUAACCCUUUUCGCUCUCUCUCUCCUCUCCGUCCGCUCGCUCGAUUCGUGCUCUCCAUAUGGCGACGCGAUUCGCGCGAGAGAGGUCUCGGCUAUAAUUAGAACGCACCACGCUCUCGUACGCGAGGCGUGUUAAGCCUUUUUAAGCGUUUCGAUUUUUCAACGAGCCCCUCUCUCUCUCUCGUUGUCACUUCUUCGUGUCCGCUUCUCCGGCAUUUCUCCGCUCGCUCGCGAGUGAGCGAGCGAGCGCGGUUUUCAAAUACCCGCGGCAUUUCGCGACGACGAAAGGACGGAGAGAACGAACUUCAUGCAUAUACAUAUCGCGGUACGUCAGCAAGGACCUUGCGCCAACCUAGUUCCAGUCCUGCGUGAUAGUGCACGUUCACACGCGACGGUAGAGCGUAUCCUUUGCUUCUUAUCACUUCUUAAUUGGGUCAAUGUCGUCGUCGCCGCCGCAUGCGACGACGCUUUCUUUCUUCAGCCAGUACAUACCGCCGUGGUACUUGCUGACCUAAAAGUCGCUUGCUCGAGCGACUCCUCCGCAGGGUGGCGUGUUUUUCCUCUCAACGACGGGGUAUUCACACUCGAAUCUUAUAUCUGAGUUCAUCUCCAGAUGCUUCGUAACUGAUGAGUCGUAUAGCAUCCGUGAACUUAAGACGGUCUUGUAUAAUAAGAUUCGACUGUGAAUACCGGAUCUAGAGAUGCUCGCCGAGUCUGCAGAACUCGCGCGUGUCUGCUUGUCGAUUUUGCCGAUAGCUUGCCAGCAGAACAUCAUGACGAUGAUUAGCGAUAGAGACCGGACAUGAUCUGUCGUAUCGUCGCUAUUUAUACUGAAAUGAGAUAUGCUACAAAUCCCGCUUGGUUUCUGCCGCCGACCCGCUGUCGAGUUAUGUCAGCAGGUUCUAUCGACAAAACACAAGCUUAACGUCUAAUACAGAUGGCUGUUACGGUACGAUCUGAUCGAAUCUUCCGCCAACACUGGCUGCGUUCGGGAAACAUAACGGUUGUACAACGGUCGAGUAAUUUGUUCAAUCGGCCUAAAUUUAUGGAUUUAACAGUAAAAACCAAUAAAUCAUUGACUAAU
Dinoponera quadriceps is the source of this 2706-nucleotide long non-coding RNA. RefSeq lists it as uncharacterized. The record is from RefSeq and is a predicted model, not a curated record. Lineage: Eukaryota; Metazoa; Arthropoda; Insecta; Hymenoptera; Formicidae. The transcript has 2 exons.